CACGUUCAACAGGAAGUUGAUAGCACGGUCUAAUUUGCAGGGAAUCAAAUAUAGUACAGUUUUAGCGCGAGGAGAACGAAUGUUGCAUACGGUGCUGAUCAAGCACAACAAGAAUCAUGGACUCUAAUACUCAGUAUCAGUAUGGGAGUAUGGACACAGGGGAGACGGACAGUAAGAAACAGAAAAUGGAUGCUAAUACCUGGAGUACAGCUGGAUCUUAUCCUGUACCACCACCCUACCCUUACGCUACUCAGAACACCAACACCAACACCAACACCAACACCGGUUACACUGCUCCCACCACCACCAGCUGGAGCACAGGCUACGGAGGGGCACAGCAGCAAACGGGGGCUGAUUCCUAUGGCUGGGGCAGUUAUGCUGGCUAUGGACAAGGAUGGGGGACUGGACAAACAGGAACGAACAGUUGGACAGGGACGACUACUGGGCAGGACCAGAACACAGGUUAUGGGGUAGACCCGAACCAGUACAGUCAAUCCAGCUACAGCGGAGGAUGGGGACAAGGAUACAAUUAUAGCACUUCUACUGGCGUUGACUCCAAUUAUGGCUAUGGUGACAGCUCUAGCUAUUAUCGAGGAAAUUGGAGAGGAGGUCAGCAGAGUAAACCGACUGGAUACAGUCAGAGAGGCGGCUAUAGUCAAAAUCAGGGAUAUGGAACUAACUAUGGUCAAACAGCAAGUGGGGGUACAACCUUUGGAAAUAAUGAGACUGCCCCACCACAAACAGGAAAUGCAAAUAUUCAGAAGCCUUUUGGAAAUGGAAAUUCUGUUCAGGAACCCGCUCCUGCUGCACCAGUUCCUGCUGUAAGCCAAGUUACUGAAAAUGCACCAAGUCAGCAAGCAGCUGAAGACACAGCCCCAGUUUCAAAUGAAGGGAAAACCCUCCUGGGGACUCCAGCAACUAGACCAAACCAUGGCUACAGUGGUCCUGCUCCAGACAUGAUGGGGAUGCCGUUUGGCAAUCAGAAACACUUCCCAGGCAUGAGAGGAGGAUAUUUUGGGCAAGGUCCUUUCGGAGGAUUCCGAUUUGGAGAUGGGCCAAGACCACGUGGAGGUUUUGGUGGUGGCGGCGGUUUUGAUUGGUACAGGGGCAGAGGUGGAGGUCCUGGUCCUCAUAGGGGGAUGGGAAUGGGAAUGGGAAUGCAGAAGAGGAGAUGGGAACGUCCUCAUCCAUCAGAAAAGGAUAAAACUCCAAUACCUGAAAAACUUGAAAAAAUGAUCAAAUACAUCAAAUUGCAGAAUUCAAUCACUGUUGAUGUUAUUAAUUUCAUUGAUCAUUCUGUUGAGACUUGCAAACAUGGCCUGAGGAUAGACUACAGAAAUGAUGUGAAGGUGAGAGCAGAUGGAGGCGACAAGAUGUCAGGACGAUUGUACUUAAGUUCAGUCUUCCUUGCAAGAAGCAUUGGUUACAAGAAAAGGGAAGUGAAGGAGGACUGCUACCAGCAAGCUGUUGAAAUCCUCACAAACAAAACAGUGGAGGAAAUCAUGGCUUUAAAAGAUGUUGGUCCAGAGGCAACAGAAAAGCAAAUACUGGAAGAUUAUGAAAAGAAGAAAAUUGAGGUGCUGGCAGAAAGUAUGAAACUCAAUGAAGGUAUUACACUGAGGUCCCGUGAAGAGAAACUAUUAGAGCUGGUUGAAUAUCUGAAGAGUGGCAAAAAAUCUCCUCAUGAUGUUAUUGUUGAGUUGGACGAUGCAUUCAUAAACUCAGGGUGUGGACUCUCUCGCGAAUACAGUGAUGAAGAAGUUGCAUUGCCAGGUGGUGAAGUGUGGUAUCGAGGAAGGUUUAUCAUCAAUGACACCUUGAUUGCUGGGGCUUCCGGAAAAUCAAAAGAAAUUGCGAAGCAGAUUACGUACGAAAGAAGUAUGAACAUCUUGAGAAGAGUCCCACUUUUUGUCAUCCUGGAAGGUAGCACAUUGGAUGAACUUGAUCCCAAGCUUCCGUCUUCUCCAGCUUUUCAUGCACUUGGAAACAAUCAUAUUCCACUACCAGAUGAUAGAACUGAAGAGAAGCUGGCCUACUUGAUCAGCGAUGCUAUGGACAUUUCUAGAGCAACACCCCUGAGCGUAGAGCUUGACAAUACUGCGCGAGAGUAUGGCUUGACAGUCACAAAUGUCUACAAACGGGGUCCCUCAGACCAUACCAGAUCAAGCAUGUCAUGUGAAGUUUACCUGGAUAACAUCUUCGUUGCUGAUGGUGAAGGCUUCAGAAGAUUAGAGGCUGAGGAAACUGCGUAUAAGAACACCUUGAAGGCCCUGUGCACCAGCUCAUCUGAUGUUCUUUUCGCUGACUCCAAACGAUUGGUUCACUCAGAAUUGAUGAAUAUGCCAUUGGUAUCUGAGGUGUGGAUCAAAGGGUUCUACAAGAUGAUGCACUGGUCAAAUUGGUCCAAAGUAAGAAACCUGAAGAAGGCCAUCCUUGUCAAGGGGGAUCCAGACUACACAGAGAUGAAGAGGCCCAACAAAGACAUCAUUCUCUUUGAGAAUCAGAAAUCAGGAUUUGACCGAUUUGGAAGGGCAUAUGACAUUUUGCAGCUUAGUGCUACCAAUAACUUCAUGCUUCUCCAAGGAAAAACCACAAACUAUGGUGACUUGUACAGAUGUCAGCUGUUCUUACAGGGUGAACUGAUGUCUGAAGCUGUCUCCAUGCACAAUCUUGAUGCUACCAACCGUGCUUCUGUUAAGCUGCUUUUCAAGUUGUACUUGACUCAGACGACUAUCAAGCAAGAGUUACACCCCUUGGUUUCUCACUGGAAGUGAACAGUCAAGAUCGAAGACGUACAUGUACAAUAAUUCCUACAUGAUAAACCUCGGAGAAAGGCCGACCCCCACCCAAUGAACAACAAAGACAACAUACAGAUCGUCCCCCUAGAUCAACCAUCCAUUUGGCACACCUUUGAGUCCAUCAAGGCUUUAGCUGACAAGAUGAAAGCAGAGAGUGGGGACACUGGCACAGAUGACAUCGUCUAUGU
This 2986-nucleotide unclassified non-coding RNA is filed under the name Haliotis rubra (blacklip abalone). RNAcentral's name for it is "uncharacterized LOC124253300, transcript variant X2". Lineage: Eukaryota; Metazoa; Mollusca; Gastropoda; Lepetellida; Haliotidae. The record is from RNAcentral.